This 81-nucleotide small RNA is filed under the name Flavobacterium chilense. Its description in RNAcentral is "Flavo-1 RNA". It matches the Rfam family "Flavo-1 RNA". The record is from RNAcentral. Lineage: Bacteria; Pseudomonadati; Bacteroidota; Flavobacteriia; Flavobacteriales; Flavobacteriaceae.
CAUUAGCCCCGAUUGAAGUGGAAAUUAUUUUGCUUUUUCCUUUAAAAAGCAAAAUGAUUGCAACGUAAAGCGGGAACUAUU